This 1963-nucleotide ribosomal RNA is filed under the name human gut metagenome. RNAcentral describes it as "bacterial LSU rRNA". It matches the Rfam family "Bacterial large subunit ribosomal RNA", at positions 1 to 1983 of the family's 2925-position model. The record is from RNAcentral.
GAUUAAGGGCGCGCGGUGGAUGCCUAGGCUCUCGGAGGCGAAGAAGGACGCGAUAAGCCGCGAUAGUCCACGGCGAGGUGCAAGUAACCCUUGACCCGUGGGUUUCCGAAUGGGGCAACCCGGCCGUCUAGAUGACGGUCAUGCAUUAUCAUGCAGGCGAACGCGGGGAACUGAAACAUCUCAUUACCCGCAGGAGAAGAAAACAAAAUGUGAUUCCCCCAGUAGUGGCGAGCGAACGGGGAAGAGCCCAAACCGCUGCCGUUUCGGCGACAGCGGGGUCAUGGGACCGCGAGAUUCGACGGAAGACGAAGUGCAAUUACCUGGAAAGGUAAGCCGUGGAGGGUGACAGCCCCGUGCACGACACCUCUUUCUUAGAUAGCGGUAUCCCGAGUAGGGCGGGACACGAGAAAUCCUGCCUGAAUUCGCCAGGACCUCCUGGCAAGGCUAAAUACUCCCGAGAGACCGAUAGUGAACCAGUACCGCGAGGGAAAGGUGAAAAGUACCCCGAGCAGGGGGGUGAAAUAGACCCUGAACCCGCGCGCCUACAAGCGGUCGGAGCCACGCGAUGUGGUGACGGCGUGCCUUUUGCAUAAUGAGCCUACGAGUUAGUCGUCACCAGCGAGGUUAAGGGCUUCAGGCCCGUCAGCCGAAGUGAAAGCGAGCCUUAACAGGGCGUGAAGUUGGUGGCGCUAGACGCGAAACCUUGUGAUCUACCCACGAGCAGGUUGAAGUCGCGGUAACACGUGAUGGAGGACCGAACCGGUAAACGUUGAAAAGUUUUCGGAUGACUCGCGGGUAGGGGUGAAAGGCCAAUCAAACUGGGAAAUAGCUCGUACUCUCCGAAAUGCAUUUCGGUGCAGCCUGUGAUGUUCUGUUCCAGAGGUAGAGCUACUGGUUGGACGCGAGGGCUUCACCGCCUAUCAAAUCCGGAUAAACUCCGAAUGCUGGAACACGAAAUCAUGGAGUGAGCCCGCGGGUGCUAAGGUCCGCGGACGAGAGGGAAAGAACCCGGACCACCGGCUAAGGUCCCGGAUGGACAGUUAAGUUGAUCAAACGAGGUGGGAUCGCGGAGACAGCUAGGAUGUUGGCUUGGAAGCAGCCAUUCAUUUAAAGAGUGCGUAACAGCUCACUAGUCGAGCGAUCCCGCGUGGAUAAUACACGGGCAUCAAACUGUCAACCGAAGCCGUGGGGUUAGUGAUGAGCUAACCGGUAGGAGAGCAUUCCUGCCAGCUUUGAAGGUCACCCGCGAGAGUGACUGGAGCGGCAUGAAAAGCAAAUGUAGGCAUAAGUAACGAUAAUGGGGGCGAGAACCCCCCACGCCGCAAGACCAAGGAUUCCCCGGCAAUGUCAAUCAGCCGGGGGUCAGCCGGCCUCUAAGGCUAACCCGAAGGGGGAUGCCGACGAGAAACGGGUUAACAUUCCCGUGCUUCUCGUCACCGUGACGCGGUGACGGGGUGAUGAAUGGACCGCGCGCAGACGGAAUAGCGCGUUGAAGGCCGUACCCUUUGAGGGUGGUAGUCAAGCACGCCACCGGAGGCGACAGCCGAUAGUACCUCGAGGCCUCGGCCGAGGGGAUAGCGUCCAGGCAAUUAACCCCCUAGAAAACCCGCUAAACUUCAAGUGACGAGGAACCGUACCGUAAACGGACACACGUGGUCGGGUAGAACAUACCAAGGCGCUCGAGUGAUUCAUGGUCAAGGAACUAGGCAAAAUAGUCCUGUAACUUAGGGAUAAAGGACGCUCUAGUGAUAGAGCCGCAGAGAAAUGGCCCAGGCGACUGUUUACCAAAAACACAUGGCUAUGCCAAAUCGAAAGAUGACGUAUAUGGCCUGACACCUGCCCGGUGCCGGAAGGUUAAGAGGAGAGCUCAUCAGUAAUGAGAAGGUUUGAAUUGAAGCCCCGGUAAACGGCGGCCGUAACUAUAACGGUCCUAAGGUAGCGAAAUUCCUUGUCGGGUAAGUUC